Molecule: long non-coding RNA, 5073 nt
Filed under: Lupinus angustifolius (narrow-leaved blue lupine)
Lineage: Eukaryota; Viridiplantae; Streptophyta; Magnoliopsida; Fabales; Fabaceae
Description: long non-coding RNA (LANG_LNC000182)
Source: RNAcentral
UUCCUUCAAACUAAAUACCAUUCCUUGAUCUUCUCAGUACCUGUAGUGAGCAGGCUUGUAUGGACCCGCCACUGGUACACUGAUGUAAUCAGCUUGUGUUUGGCUAAGCUUGGUGAGCUUAGCUCCAAGCUUCCCAAGGUGGAGUGCUGCCACCUUCUCAUCAAGGUGUUUCGGCAAAACAUAAACCUUCUUCUCAUAUUUGCCGGUAUCCUUCUCCUUCCACAACUCAAGCUGAGCAAUGACCUGGUUGGUGAAGGAGCAUGACAUCACAAAACUUGGGUGUCCUGUGGCACAACCCAAGUUCAUCAACCGUCCCUCGGCUAAGACAAUGAUGCCCGUGUUGGUUUCGGGGAAGACCCACCUGUCGGUUUGGGGCUUGAUGGUGAUGCGCUUCACACCAGGGUAAGACUCAAGACCGUGCAUGUCGAUUUCAUUGUCGAAGUGACCAAUGUUGCAGACAAUAGCGUUGUUCUUCAUUUUCCUCAUGUGGUCAACCAUGAUGAUGUCCUUGUUACCUGUGGUGGUAACGAAGAUAUCGGCAUCAGAGACAACAUCCUCUAGGGUCAGAACCUGAAGACCUUCCAUGAGAGCCUGAAGGGCACAGAUGGGGUCAAUCUCAGUCACAACAACACGGGCACCGGCCUGUUUCAAGGCAGCAGCACAACCCUUUCCAACAUCUCCGUAACCAGCAACAACGGCAACCUUCCCGGCAAUCAUGACAUCAGUGGCCCUCAUCAACCCAUCAGGAAGUGAGUGACGGCACCCAUACAAGUUGUCAAACUGUUGCAAACCAUGGAUCAAGUGGAGAAAAUAAAACUUCAUUAGACCAAAAAAUGACACACAACUAGAUCCAAAUUAUAAAACAUACAAAAAUUGACACCAAAAGAAGACUCAAAUCAAACACAACAUUUACACAAAAAAAGGAAACAACAGAUAAUAAGCAUAUAUGCAAAUUGCAAACAACACUCAGAACUCAUAAGCAGUUCAAAUUAAAACAAGAGCCACUGACCCCAUAUAAUCAUUAGCAUGCAGUGUAAAUUAAUUUCAAUAACCCACUUGUUUCAACAACCCAAGCAAUAAGUAGCCCUUAACACACAAUCUGAAGACAUUUAUUAAUUGCACACCACGAAGAAAAACCCAUUAAUUUAGCAAUGCAACAAAAAAACAUAGUUUUCAAACCUAAACCGUAAUUCUUACAUUUGUCACUCAAUCAAAAAAAGAACACACUCCAAAUUUCAGUAAGCCAAUGACAGCUCACCAUUUUCCAAUUACAACUAAACCUGACAUAACCCAUGUAACAAAACUUCAGAUCUUGACUCAGUCCAAAACAAAACACAAAUUAAACAACACAAAAACCAUAAUUUUUACACUUAACUCCCAUUCUCACACUCCUCUCCAAAAAAUAACACACUCUAAAUUUCACUAACCCUAAAACCAACCAUUUCAAACCAACCCAUUUUCGAAAGCAUCAUUUUUUCCCUAAAAACCCAACCAAAACUUCAGAUCCAAAUAAAAAAACAACCAGAUCUAUCUAAACAAAAACAAAGUAUCAAAAACUUCACCUUGCUCUUGGUAACAGAAUCAUUAACAUUAAUAGCAGGGAACAAAAGAGUCCCAUUAGCUUGCAUCUGAUAAAGUCUCUUAACACCAGUAGUAGUCUCUUCAGAAACCCCAACAAGUCUCUCUUUCAUUUUUCUAUACCUUCUCGGAUCACUCUUCAACCCAUCCUUAAUAAUCGUCAACACAAUUUGAAACUCUGCAUUAUCCGUUGAAUUUGGAUCCGGCAACUCCCCCGUCGCCUCAAACAGCUCCUCCGCCUUCACCCCUUCAUGAAUCAGCAGCGUAGCGUCGCCGCCGUCGUCGACGAUCAGAUCAGGUCCACCGUCGGGACCCCAAUCGAGGGCUCGCUCCGUGCACCACCAGUACUCCUGCAAGGUCUCUCCUUUCCAGGCGAAUACGGCGGCGCUGUCGCGGGCGAUGGCGGCGGCGGCGUGGUCCUGGGUGGAGAAGAUGUUGCAGGAGCACCAGCGAACCUCGGCGCCGAGGGCAGUUAGGGUUUCGAUGAGGACGGCGGUUUGGAUAGUCAUGUGAAGGGAGCCGGUGAUUCGGGCUCCCUUGAAGGGCUGAGAUGGGCCGAAUUCGGCCCGACAGGCUAUGAGCCCGGGCAUUUCGACUUCGGCCAACUCAAGUUCGAGUCGGCCGAAGUCGGCUUGGGAAAGGUCCUUGACCUUGUAUUCACGGCCGCUUGUGGUUUUCUCAACUAGCAAAGCCAUGACUAUUAUAGUAAGGAAAUAUUUUUAUUUUUUAGAGAAAGAGAGGUGAAGAAGCUAAGGGAAAAUGUUGGGUGUGUCAAAAUACGGUUAUGGGAGUGGGUGGAAUGGGAUAGGAUAUUUUAAUGAAGUGUGUGGAUUUGGGUUUUAUUGUUCACUUGCAAACAUCUUCUAAAUCCACGUGUAGUGUUAUAAAAGUUGAAAAGUAAAUUACACUGACACCCUUGAGUUUUAAUAAAAUUAUAUAAAUCAUCUCUUAUACCCCUAAUUUUUUACAUUUGCAUUACCACCCAUGAAUGAGAAAUAAAUGUAAUUUUUAGACAAAUUUAUGAUAAAUGUAGUUAAGUUAAUCAAAACAUGAUAUAAUGUGAAAUGGAACCCCCGUGAACUGAGUCAAGCCAAUUAAGAGUAUGAGACAAUGGUUUGAGGAGCACAUGGAGAUGAUGGCGCCAUGUUUGUUGGGAGCGGUCGGUUCCAUUACAUUGUAGUUGUAUCGCUCCUUUCGUCUAUUAAACUGUUGCCAUUAAUAAUACUUAGUACAUGAGGAGAGUAUUAUGAUAUUUAUAAAAUAUGAUUUUUACUAUAUUUAUAAUAAAUUUUAGUAAUUAGUAAUUGAGCUAUAUCGACAAAAGUUGUCAUAUAUAUUAUUUAUUUAAUUAUUAUAUAUAUUGAUUAUUAUAAAAUAUAUAAAUAUAUGAGAAAAUAGUAUAUAAAUGUAUAGUGAAAGUGAGGAAUAAAAUAUUAAUGGAACAAAAGCUCUAGAGUUUAGCUAUGAUCCAAGUCUAAAAGCAUAAGCAUGUGAUGUUGUUGUGUUUUACCAAACACAAGCCUUAGAGCACCCUAAUACAUGAGCACUUGAGCAGUGGGGAAGGUGUAAAAGGGUAAGAGAAUAUAAGACUCUUGUCUUACUGCACCAUCUAUUUUAAUCCUACCAAACCUAUCGUGAGAGAUAAUCUAGUAUUUUGAAGCUCUUACAUUGACAAUGAAAUAUAAGAAAUGAUCAAAUUGAGUUCAUACACUGAACAAUAUGGCUGUUGUAUCUGAAGCUAUGUCAUCUCAACCACGGCAUCAGAGGGAGUCUAAUGGCUGAAAUUCCAAUAUUUUAUCUUUAGGCAAAACGUAACAAAAUGACAUUCACAUAAAUCAAGUCACAAAGAUAAAGCAUGCCUAAAAGGGACUACGAUAAUUGACAAAUAUUUCAUCUUUAUUCUUAUUCUCUCGCUGAUAAAAGAUGAUCAUAAUUUUAUAUACAUGUGGUUAUAAACAAAAGGUCAAAUGAUGAAAUACUGAACAAGAAUGACAUUAGUGCUUCUGAAUAAGAAAUAAGCCAAAGGAUGAAAUGCUGAUGAUAAGUAAGAAAGAAUGACAUUAAUGUUUGAAAUGUUAUUUUUUUAUAGCUGAUAAAUAUUAAUACAUUUCACCUCUGAAUCUGUGCAUAUACAAAUUAUAUCCUCAAUAUCAAACAAUAAAAAUGUAAGUUAGAUACAAAAAUGUCACACUAGUAUAAAUAAUGAGUAUAAUAUUUAUGUACUGAUAAUAUAAAGAUUUAUACAUAAUUAACUCAUACACUAUCAAUUUAUAUAUUUUUCUCUAAAAUAAUAUCAUAACAUCACUUUUAUAUAAAUUUAUUUAAUAUUUUACAAUGUCAGACCACACCAUGUUGAGUUUGGACCAUGGUAUAGAUUUCUCUCUCUCUCGUUGUAAGAUGAAUACAAAUUUUAAAUAAUAAAGUAUUGAAAACUGAGAAUAAGAUAUUGCUAGAGACAUGUGUUCUCGAUAUUGAUUUCAUGAUUUGUUGAUAUUAUGCUAAUAUACCAACAUCCUCAUGCCCCCAGCCCCACAUUGGACUAAGGACCUACUUUGAUUUUCCUUCAAUAUUUUAUUGAGCAAUAAUGAAGAUACACGAUGACCAUUUUCCUUUUAUUCAUUUCACUGCACUGCCUUUUAUUCGUGUUUUUGUCCUUUAUAUUAUGAAUUCAAUCAUUGAUAUCCCACGGUUUUCACCUUACUUUCAUUUCAAAUAACCUUACACAAGAAUCUUAUCCACUUAAUGAGGAAGAAAUCUUAAAAUUUCCUAACAAAACAUUCAAUAUUCAUAUUGGAAGAUUGGGUAUUUGUCCUUUUGUAGAUUGAUUUCAGGCAAUGAAGGAAAUGUGAAUUUAUCUGUUUCCAUAGGCAUUGGCUGCAAAUGAAUGUGAAGUAACUUUUCACAAUCCUUCGGCAGUGAAUGAAUUUUAGCCCAAAACCAUGCACUUACAAUUGCAAAUUAAAAUCCCACUUACUCAAUUUAGUUUUCUUUUGAUUUUAGCAAAGGUGGACAGAAUGAACACUAAAACCCCACAAACUCAAGCUAUUACAAAACCAGAAUGAACACAACCCCAACCAAAGCAUUAUUCAAACCCAUUUGGUUUCACUUCACAGAAACCAAUGGAUCAACUUCCUCUAACCCUUCAUACCCACUUAGAACAGAGAAUCCUACAGAAAAUCCAAAAUAGUGAAAGUGGAACAAUCAAACCGGUACACGAAACAGCUUUUCUAUUCCUUCAAACUAAAUACCAUUCCUUGAUCUUCUCAGUACCUGUAGUGAGCAGGCUUGUAUGGACCCUCAACAGGUACGCUGAUGUAAUCAGCCUGUGAUUGGCUAAGCUUGGUGAGCUUAGCUCCAAGCUUCCCAAGGUGGAGUGCUGCCACCUUCUCAUCAAGGUGUUUCGGCAAAACAUAAACCUUCUUCUCAUAUUUGCCGGUAUCCUUCUCCUUCCACAACUCAAGCUGAGCAAUGACCUGGUUGGUGAAGGAGCAUGAC